This 540-nucleotide ribosomal RNA is filed under the name uncultured bacterium. Its description in RNAcentral is "bacterial SSU rRNA". It matches the Rfam family "Bacterial small subunit ribosomal RNA", at positions 774 to 1314 of the family's 1533-position model. The record is from RNAcentral.
AGUCAAUAGAUACCCUGGUAGUCCAUGCCGUAAACGAUGAUUGCUAGGUGUGGGGGGUCUGACCCCUUCCGUGCCGGAGUUAAACACAAUAAGCAAUCCACCUGGGGAGUACGGCCGCAAGGUUGAAACUCAAAGGAAUUGACGGGGGCCCGCACAAGCAGUGGAGUAUGUGGUUUAAAUUCGAAGCAACGCGAAGAACCUUACCAGGUCUUGACAUCCACCGAAUCCUGUAGAGAUACGGGAGUGCCCUUCGGGGAGCGGUGAGACAGGUGGUGCAUGGUUGUCGUCAGCUCGUGUCGUGAGAUGUUGGGUUAAGUCCCGCAACGAGCGCAACCCUUGUGAAUAGUUGCUACGAAAGAGCACUCUAUUCAGACCGCCGUUGACAAAACGGAGGAAGGUGGGGAUGACGUCAAAUCAUCAUGCCCCUUAUGACCUGGGCUACACACGUACUACAAUGGUCGUCAACAGAGGGAAGCAAGACCGCGAGGUGAGCGAACCCCGUAAAAACCGAUCUCAGUUCAGAUUGCAGGCUGAAACUCG